This 328-nucleotide small RNA is filed under the name Pan troglodytes (chimpanzee). RNAcentral's name for it is "processed transcript". The record is from RNAcentral. Lineage: Eukaryota; Metazoa; Chordata; Mammalia; Primates; Hominidae.
UGACUUGUUUGUUCUUGUCCCUGGUGCCUUUAAGCCAGCCACCCUGCUCUCCUCCAGCCCCUUCCACUGUUCCAAGCCCCUUCCUCAGAGGCGUCUCCCCAACCCUCCUGCUGGUGGCCGCUCUUGCACUGCUUGGUCUGCAACUGUGUCUGAUGGCGAGUUGACGGGCGCCGACCUGAAGGACUGCGUCAGCAACAACAGCCUGAGCAGCAAUGCCAGCCUCCCCAGCGUGCAGAGCUGCCGGCGCCUGCGUGAGAGGAGGGUCGCCAGCUGGGCCGUGUCCUUUGAGCGCCUGCUGCAGGACCCCGUCGGUGUCCGCUACUUCUCU